Cuculus canorus (common cuckoo) is the source of this 4308-nucleotide long non-coding RNA. RefSeq lists it as uncharacterized. Lineage: Eukaryota; Metazoa; Chordata; Aves; Cuculiformes; Cuculidae. The transcript is spliced from 3 exons. The record is from RefSeq and is a predicted model, not a curated record.
AGGCCAGCUAAACAGAAGAUCCGUUUAGCAGUAAAACUACAUUGCUGCCUAUCGGAACAGGAAAACCUUGUAGUGAAGUUACAUCAGCAACGAUGUGUUUCACGUGCCUACAGCUGCAUACCUCCAGGUUUGCAACUGUGCAGCAGCACAUUUUUUUGCCAGUUGUCAGACUAAUUCAACAGCAAAAUCCAAGCAAUGAAGAUUUUGCCUGGAACAAUAUAGAAGACCUGCUAGAAGCCUAGACGUGACCCUGUAGUAACCCUGCUGUAUGAGUGUCUCCUUGGGACUGAUCCAACUGGUUGUCCAAAGAUCCGGUAAAUAUUUGCAUGCACAGAGUAAGCUAGUGGCACUUUCCGUGUAGAGCUGGUAACAAGACACAACAUCUCAGCUCUAUGUCAAUAGUGAAAAACAAACAGUGACUGCUAGUGGUGAACAUCAACUUUCAUGCAACAGUUGGCACUCGGUACUCAUGACCGUGACCUACAAACUUUAUCACACUCCAAUCUGCAUUGUGAAAGCAAAGACUACAGCGGUGGCUGCCCAUAGUGUAGCCUCGUGGGAUCUCCGGUCCUGAAGGUAUCACAUUGAUCCUCCUCUCUGUUUCUUCCUGAUACCUUUUACCACUUUAUGCGGACAAACAGAAACUACAUGAAGGAAGAUGAGGUAUAUCUAUGUAACUGUUGAUCUCAAACACAAAAACCUGCAAUCCAAGGGCAAACAUGAGGGUUGCACACAGUCUUUCUACUAUUAAUUGUAGGAGUCUGAAGAAUUAGGUAGUAAGGGGCACUAUCGGCUUAGGCACUGAAGAAAUUAAAAUGCGGUCAAAUUUAAUGAAAUGCCUGAAUAAAACAUUUUAUCAUGUGCAUCUGUUCUUCUGUCCAUGAAGAAUCCUAUUUAAACAGUAGUGGCAAUGUUUUCUCUCACAGAGCUCAGGCUCCUCAUCUGCCUCAGAGUUCUACACCCAUUUUAAACAAAUGCAGAUGUGUUUCAGUAAACUAUACAUUACUCGAACAGUGAGAUGUAUUUUGCUGAAGGAAAGUAGCUCUGUACAAGAUCUUACAGUAAAAUACGUCUUUGUAGAGUCAAGAACCUAGCUAACUAAUCUGAGAUCAAAAAGAAUUAAACCUUGAAACCUUGACCUUGAACAUUCCUUGACUAAGAAUUAAUGCGUUACAUUUAAUUGCCUGUUCUUCUGCAGCCUCCUGCAGAAAGUACUUUGGAAUACAGUUUCGUAUCGAUCUACUCAUAUACUACUUUUUAUCAAGGAUACACAUUACUAAAUAUCUUAAUAUUAACAUUUUUAAACUACUAGUUUUGAUUUGAAAUAAAAGUUAAAAGAAACUGAACUAUCCAAAGGAAGUCAGAAAAUACUAUCCUUUUCUUCGCCCACUUUAUUUCAUUUAUGUCAAAUGAAUAUUUUCAUAGUUGAUGGAGAAGACAACAUAGCCCAGGCUAGGUGUAAAGACAGCCCACAUUUAUGAAAUAUCAGUGAAAGCCUUGUAGUUUUUGGCAAAAUUUGGAUCUCUACUGGAACAACUCCAAAAAGCCAUUUUAUUACAACAUAUUGCACAGCCCUCAUGACAAUGCAAACUAUAUUUGUACAGAAUUCAAAGGAAUGUGAGAGCCAGAUUCUAUUCCAUCUUCUUCUAUGGAAUUUAUCAAGAGUGGCUUGCCAAAACAUGCAGAAAGAAAACAAAAAGUCCUCAGCAAAACAGAUUGUUUUCCAAGAGACGAGAGCUGGAAUGGUGAAAGAAAGAAGGUUCUUUAAUCAAAAGAAGCCAUAGUCAAGUAAGAGAACAGGUAUAAAAAUAAAUGUUUGCCAUCAGCUCAAGAAAGUUUAGAACAAUAUGUAGUUGAAGUUCUUUCUUCUUUGCCCUUUCACCCACAGGAGUCUGUUAGACAACCACAGGGUUCAGGUGUGACAGCCUGAGCGAGAAUUUUAGACCAGAGUGGUUGGCAAGGAAUUUUGUGAUCAAUGUCUUGCAGUGGUCCGUGGCUUUAAGGCUGUCUGGAAAUAAUAUGCUACGGAGCAGAAAUCAAUAUUCAGAUCUGCAAGUAACAAAGAUCGCAUGGCACUUCAUCAGGAACAAAAGACCUUAUAAAGCACUUGACAGAACGAGAUCAGAGCAAAGCUAGGGAAGCAAAGCUUCAAUACGUUUUGUGAUUACAAAUGAGGCAGUUUAUCAAAUGCAUUUAUAAAAUAUUUCUCAAACUGUAGCUGGACAUCAGUGUCAUAACUGUACCUUCUUUUGCAUGUUCCCAAGGUCUCCCUGGGUCGCCUCCUUUUGUCAGCGCUCCUCUGCUCCUCCAUCCCCCCAGUCUUUCUGCUGCCUUCUCACUCAUCCCUACACACUUUGCCCCAUAUUUUUCUGUACUACUACUGUCUCUUCCACAUCUGCCCACUAGUAGGUAGAGCAUCACCAUCAGAAAGCCCAAGCCAUGAAGCCCUCUUGUGGACUGUUAUGAUGGGGACACAGAGAGCAGAAUGAAUGGAAAAAUGAUUUGCCUUUGUUCUAUAGGCAGAACGCAGAACCUUGACAAUGUUGGAUUUAUUUCCAGGUUCUGGAAGGUGACAUGCUAUAUCAACUACAGACUUUUCACUUACACAACAUACAAUUCCUACAAAUUCUCUUUCUAUUCUUGAAUAAUUUAAUGCAUUUCUUAUUCUUUUCCUCUUUUUAUAAGUCUCCUUUAUUCCUUCCCCAACAUUAGGGUCUCCCUUAUCCUAUGCCAACUCUUUUUUUCCCAGCUCUUUUCAUUUUAAAUUGCCUUUCUUUCUCCAGGAUAACAGAAGGAGAGGAAAAAUAUGAGAACUCUUUCCAACCAACUUAUAUAUCUCAAGACUAGUUGCAAAAAAAGGGCCGUCCUUACCCUCUGCUACUGCAUAUUGUAGCACACUCAGUAGUGGUAGAGACUCUAACUACACAUUAACUUAAAAUUUAGUGAAAACUAUAAGCACUUAAAAUUCCUUUUUUAUUUCUCAUGAAAAGUAUAAGGUAUAUAGCCAUGGUAAUUCUCUUUCUGCCUCCAAACAACUGAAAUUUCAAGUUUUUGUGCCAAAUAAUGCAGCUGUUAGAUUAUUAACGUUAAGUAUUAAUUAAAUACCAAAACACUACAACAUGACUAAAGAAUAUGAUUUCAGGAGUUUCACUAUAUUUUGAUUAAAUUAGAAAACAAACAAACAAGCAAACAGCACUCAAAAAAAACCCCACUGUGAUCCAGAAACUCAGAGGAAAUUUGUCAUCCAAACGGUUUAAGUAUGGUAACAUUAAGAAGAUCUUAAAGUGGGGGUUAGGGGCACCUGAGCUGGGCCCUGAUAAAGUGCAAUUAUUUCCAGUGUGACCACUGUGAUAUGAUCCAAGAAAGAAAUUCCAGAAGAAAAUCCCAGGAGUAAGGUAAAAGUACAGGUUCUCUGCCCAUUCAAAGAUGUGACCCGCAGGGUAAUUUUUAGUCUUAAUACUGCAGCCUAUAUUGAAAAUGCAGAAGCUUUUGACAAUCUCUGUUCAAAAUUCAACAUCUUAUUCCUCAGAAAUAGAAAAGUAUUAGCAAUCUUACAGCCACACAAGAUCAAAGAUACUUAAGAACAGACCUUGAUGAGACUGAACAGAGGCAAAAGCCAUUCUGAAGUCUCCGAUCAUGACACUGGCUUUCCCCUGCUUUUUGACCUCGCAGAAGAGAGGAGAUGAAGAGGAAGAAACUGAAAAAGAAGUGGUUUGUAGUAUAUGAUGGCAGAGGGGAAAAAUAUGUGAUUCUGCACUGCACUAGUUUAUCUUUGGGUCCCUGUGAUAGAUACCUAGAACUGAGCAGUCCCAGAGAAGCUGCGGCUGCUCUGGGAACAAGUGAAUUCUGGGUGCCACAGCAUGGAGUAGGGCUUGCAGAGUAACUAUGCUUCUCAGGAAGACUGUAUGUGGAAAAAGAAGCCCUCAGUACAAUGAACGAGGUAACUGUGCCAAUUCACUUAUACAGAGGACAAGGUAAAUUUGUCAAAUUAUACAUAUAUAAAAUUCUCCUCUAUCUUAUUUGAGAAGGAUGAUAUUUUUUGGUGUAAAUUUGUAUUGUCUUGUUUAAUAAAAAUCAAAACAAUAGCACACACACAUAACAACAUAAAUGAAACAAGGGAAAUAAUCUUGCUUUUUAAAUGAGGCAAAAUGGAAAGAACGCAAAUUUGAAUGAUGGUUUACAUAGGUAAAAAAGUUUUUUAUGUCAGUGCAAGAAGAAUCACUUAGAGAAUGCAUAUUUUCUGCUUUUCAACAUUAUUGCUAUGAUUCAUGACAAAUCUGUACAGAGAUCAUAUCCUUGUUUAGUGUA